Molecule: unclassified non-coding RNA, 257 nt
Filed under: Hevea brasiliensis (rubber tree)
Lineage: Eukaryota; Viridiplantae; Streptophyta; Magnoliopsida; Malpighiales; Euphorbiaceae
Source: RNAcentral
UUGGGGAAUAACUGGAUGGGAAGAAUACAGUGUCAUCAAGGCUCCUGAGACUCUCUUUAAAAUUCACAAUACGGAUGUGCCGCUUUCUUACUAUACAGGAAUCCUAGGGAUGCCCGGGAUAACUGCUUAUGGAGGUUUUUAUGAGCUAUGCUCCCCAAAGAAAGGAGAAACUGUAUAUGUCUCUGCUGCGUCUGGAGCUGUUGGUCAGCUCGUUGGACAAUUCGCUAAGCUAAUAGGUUGCUAUGUUGUUGGAAGUG